AUUUUUUGUCAUAAUAUAUUAAAAAAUUUUUGAAAAGUACUUUGGCAUUGUUACUUCUCAAGAUGCGCAUAGAAAUAUUAAACUUUGUUUUUAUUUCAGCAUAAAAGGUACAACAAAUAGAACAUUGCUCAAAACAGCUUUUCAUUAAAUAUAACCAAAUAGCACGAAAGUAAUCAUCAACAAAUGUGACAAAGUAUUUAAAUUCGUACCGUGAAACAACAGGAUAAGG
RNAcentral lists this unclassified non-coding RNA (229 nucleotides) under Hevea brasiliensis (rubber tree). Lineage: Eukaryota; Viridiplantae; Streptophyta; Magnoliopsida; Malpighiales; Euphorbiaceae. The record is from RNAcentral.